AUUUAGCCCUGAUAGCAGCGGCAUCCUUUUUUUUAAAAACUCACUUUAUUGUAUGCACCAACUCUAAUUUAACAACUUUUUUCAAAGCUAUAAAAACUAGCUUUUACUAAAAAAAGAUAUAGCGAAUAGCAGGAUUAGCU
Molecule: small RNA, 140 nt
Rfam family: Flavo-1 RNA